Molecule: long non-coding RNA, 415 nt
Filed under: Hordeum vulgare
Lineage: Eukaryota; Viridiplantae; Streptophyta; Magnoliopsida; Poales; Poaceae
Description: long non-coding RNA (HVUL_LNC020887)
Source: RNAcentral
GGCAAAUUAAUUAUACACGAGUAUGUUCAUCUUGUUCAUCGUGGGGUAGAUUGUUUAUUGCCUAUUAUAGCAGCUUAUCACAGCAGGCACAUGCCUCAAAUUCAUUGCGGAACACACCUCUUAAUUCUUCUUUGUUGUCAGUGUUUGUAUACUUGCCAUCUCAAUCUGAAUACAUUUUGAAGGCCAACCAGCUGUCCUGCGUGCCAUGUGAGGAAAGUUGUUGUAGCAGUUGGAAAUGGAUUGAUGUUUGCUUCAGAGCAGUGUUGGAGUAGAUUUUAGUAACAUGCUUCGUUUCUCUGUUUUUAAUUUGCUGGUUGUUGAACCGCUAUGCCUUUUACAGAUUGUGUGAACGAAUCUGGUCAUGUUCUUAAUAGUAUGCAGGACAAUACCUUUUCGAUGAAUAAGUAACCCCUUG